This 1619-nucleotide ribosomal RNA is filed under the name Ostreopsis cf. ovata HJ-2013. RNAcentral's name for it is "eukaryotic LSU rRNA". It matches the Rfam family "Eukaryotic large subunit ribosomal RNA", at positions 74 to 2866 of the family's 3401-position model. Lineage: Eukaryota; Dinophyceae; Peridiniales; Ostreopsidaceae. The record is from RNAcentral.
AUUUUGCUAGUAGCUGCGAAUGAAUACAAAGCUAAUCAUAAUGACAAUUGCUGCACACUUUGUGCAGUGAAUUGUUUACUUUUGGUAUAAUGCUAUCAAAGCUGCAUACAAAUGAUUUUUGAAAUGAUACAACAUGGGAUGCGAUGUUCAUGUAUGUGUGCCUGCUUUGUCCACAGCAUGUGCUGAAUGAAUCACAUUUCUUGCAACUGAAAUGCAAAUGGCAUGGUGAAGUUCAUGUGACAUGACACAUGCUUGAGAUUCAUGAUGUGCAAGUACCAUGAGGGAAAUGUGAACAGGACUGUGGAAAGAGAAUUAAAUAAAGCCUGCAAUUGCUGGACAUGAAAGCAAGCGUAGACAUUCAUUGAAGUGUUACUGCAUCUUUACACCACCUUUAUGGUUACUGUAUGCUUUACAUUACAACACAAAUAAUGAAGUGCGUGUGUGUGUGUGUGUGUACUUUGCUUCAAUUGUUUCCACCUGGGAUCACUUGAAACAUUGUCUGAGCACUCUUCAGUAUCACUAUGUGUACACCAGUAUAUUCCACUCCUUGUUGGCACACAUGUGAGGAUGAUGUGUUUAUGUGCCAUACUUCUGUGUUCACGAAACAUGUUGUGCACAUCUUCACUUGACCCGUCUUGAAACACGGACCAAGGAGUCUGGCAAGUGUGCAAACUGACUUUAUGUAAUGAUUUGUAUGUAAUGAAAAUAUUUGUAUUAUAAUUGCACCACCAAUCAAUAUUCAGCUGGUUGCUUAUUUGAAUGUGUGAAUUGUUGCUAGGACCCGAAAGAUGGUGAACUAUGCUUCCAUAACAUGAGUUUGGGCAAGGACUGAUCUUUCUGAUCUUUCUUUUCACAUUGAACAACUGAUUCAGAACUGAAGCGCAAAGGGGGAAUCCGACUGUUUAAUUAAAACAAAGCAUUGUGAUGGCUUUUGAAUGUGUUGAUGCAAUGUGAUUUCUGCCCAGUGCUCUGAAUGUCAAGGUGAUGAAAUUCAAACAAGCGCGGGUAAACGGCGGGAGUAACUAUGACUCUCUUAAGGUAGCCAAAUGCCUCGUCAUCUAAUUAGUGACGCGCAUGAAUGGAUUAACGAGAUUCCUACUGUCCUUACUUUCAAUUUAGCGAAACCACAGCCAAGGGAACGGGCUUGGGUUGAUCAGCGGGGAAAGAAGACCCUGUUGAGCUUGACUCUAGUCUGACACUGUGAAAUGACUUAGGAGGUGUAGAAUAAGUGGGAGUGUUUUACAAUCAUGAAAUACCACUACUCUUGAUGUUAUUUUACUUAUUCUGUGAUGCUGGUGCUUGCUGUGGCAACUUGUUGUGUGAAUGUAAACUGAAGUUUGUGCACUUGUGUGGAAAACACAGUUAGGUGGGGAGUUUGGCUGGGGCGGCACAUCUGUUAAAUGAUAACGCAGGUGUCCUAAGGUAAGCUCAAUGAGAACAGAAAUCUUAUGUGGACUAAAAGGGGAAAAGCUUGCUUGAUUUUCAUUUUCAGUGCAAAUACAAACUGUGAAAACAUGGCCUAUCGAUCCUUUAGACAUGAAAACUGUUCAGCUAGAGGUGUCAGAAAAGUUACCACAGGGAUAACUGGCUUGUGGCAGCCAAGCGUCACAGCGACGUGC